GACGAACGCUGGCGGCGUGCUUAACACAUGCAAGUCGAACGGAAAGGCCCUGCUUUUGUGGGGUUCUCGAGUGGCGAACGGGUGAGUAACACGUGAGUAACCUGCCCUUGACUUUGGGAUAACUUCAGGAAACUGGGGCUAAUACCGGAUAGGAGCUCCUGCUGCAUGGUGGGGGUUGGAAAGUUUCGGCGGUUGGGGAUGGACUCGCGGCUUAUCAGCUUGUUGGUGGGGUAGUGGCUUACCAAGGCUUUGACGGGUAGCCGGCCUGAGAGGGUGACCGGCCACAUUGGGACUGAGAGACGGCCCAGACGCCUACGGGAGGCAGCGGUGGGGAAUAUGGCAGAGUGGGCGGAAGCCUGAUGCGGCAACGCCGCGUGCGGGAUGACGGCCUUCGGGUUGUAAACCGCUUUCGCCUGUGACGAAGCGUGAGUGACGGUAAUGGGUAAAGAAGCACCGGCUAACUACGUG
Molecule: ribosomal RNA, 468 nt
Filed under: uncultured bacterium
Lineage: Bacteria
Description: partial 16S ribosomal RNA
Rfam family: Bacterial small subunit ribosomal RNA
Source: RNAcentral